This 350-nucleotide ribosomal RNA is filed under the name uncultured eukaryote. Its description in RNAcentral is "SSU rRNA". It matches the Rfam family "Eukaryotic small subunit ribosomal RNA", at positions 567 to 958 of the family's 1831-position model. The record is from RNAcentral.
CCAGCAGCCGCGGUAAUUCCAGCUCCAAUAGCGUAUAUUAAAGUUGUUGCAGUUAAAACGCUCGUAGUCUGAUGUAAUGGGGACUGGUGUGGGGAGCAGCGAUGCUCUGUGCAGCGGUCCUCAUCAGGGGGCCAGCAAUGGCCCAGUUUACUUUGAGGAAAUUAGAGUGUUCAAAGCAGGCGAUUGCUUGAAUACUGCAGCAUGGAAUAAUGGAAUAGGACUCGCGUCUUAUUUUGUUGGUUUGGAGAUGUGAGUAAUGAUGAAUAGGGACAGUUGGGGGCAUUCGUAUUUCGUUGUCAGAGGUGAAAUUCUUGGAUUUACGAAAGACGAACUGCUGCGAAAGCGUUUGC